GGUAGAAUGGCUGAGAAUUAAGGCGAUAAAUUGUAAAUUUAUUUACGAAAUUAAUAUUUCUUCUACCA
Molecule: transfer RNA, 68 nt
Filed under: Phyllotreta parallela
Lineage: Eukaryota; Metazoa; Arthropoda; Insecta; Coleoptera; Chrysomelidae
Description: tRNA-Tyr
Rfam family: tRNA
About the family: Transfer RNA (tRNA) molecules are approximately 80 nucleotides in length.
Source: RNAcentral